GAUGAAGAACGCAGCGAAAUGCGAUAAGUAGUGUGAAUUGCAGAAUUCAGCGAAUCAUCGAAUCUUUGAACGCACAUUGCGCCCCUUGGUAUUCCAUGGGGCAUGCCUGUUCGAGCGUCAUUUGUACCUUCAAGCUUUGCUUGGUGUUGGGUGUUUGUCUCGCCUUUGCGUGUAGACUCGCCUUAAAAUAAUUGGCAGCCGGCGUAUUGAUUUCGGAGCGCAGUACAUCUCGCGCUUUGCACUCAUAACGACAGCGUCCAAAAGUACAUUUUACACUCUUGACCUCGGAUCAGGUAGGGAUACCCGCUGAACUUAAGCAUAUCAAUAAGCGGAGGA
This 336-nucleotide unclassified non-coding RNA is filed under the name soil metagenome. RNAcentral describes it as "partial contains 5.8S ribosomal RNA, internal transcribed spacer 2, and large subunit ribosomal RNA". The stretch from base 1 to 120 matches the Rfam family "5.8S ribosomal RNA", at positions 35 to 154 of the family's 154-position model. The record is from RNAcentral.